UACCAAGAGAAUGUGAUGAUUUGAUUGACACAGCAACAGGAGUGUAUACUAAAUACCCUGAUGGUAUUCACCCAGUUCAAGUUUAUUGCAUUAUGACCAACAAUGAGAAGUGGACAGUAAGUUUUAUUAUAAAGUAUGAACCUGUUGUAAAUUUAUGAUCUGGAAUGAGGCUUGCUUUAUGCUUUAAUUAAGAGAAAUAUGACACUACAAUUGCAUGAUAUCUAUGUUGUAUAAAAAUUCCAUCAUUCAUGUAUGUUGAAAGCAUGAAAAACAAGCACUGUUCCCAAAAAAUUUUAAUAGCUUCCAAUCAUUUUUAAAUAAUCAAAUGUCACAUUUCUGUUGACUAUUACAGUAAAUGCUAAUAAUGUAAAACUACUUCAGAUUUGUAAUACUUUUCGCUGCAUUCCUUAUUUUCUUUAAUUGUUUGGUAUAUUUGGCAAACAACAGUAACUAACGGUAAAUCUCAAGCAAUUAUGUGUUGUUUUAUUUCGUUAUCUUUGGCUUUAACUUUCUUCUUGGGCAUUAAAAUGAACAAAAUAAUAUACAUCGAAUGCUUAGAUUUUGUUCUGAAGUUGUAAAGGGAUGUUAAAUAAUUGUUUACAAGAAAACAGUUGAUAUGUACAUUGCUUAUAUGAAUAACUCAAUUGUACUGAAACUGAAAUUAACACUGUUUUAAAAGUUCAUCAUUGUUCAUUUUUUGGAAGAAAAACCUUUGUUUUGAAGUUGGGAUACAUUUGAGUUUUGCAAUUUAAGUACUGUGUGACUAAAACAGUCAAGAUAAAAUGGUAGGAUGCUAUUUAUUAUUAUUAUCUAUACUAGGGUUAAUGUAUGGAUUUAAUUUUAGCGUUCUCAUUUAAAUAUAAUAUUGACUUUCUGUAUCAAUAAAACAAAUAAUCUUUUCAAAACAUUAAAAUUACAUUGGUUUUACCACAGUUACUGCAGUAGAAUUGUUUUGAAUUUUUUUUUAACAUAAAACUAAAAGCAAUGACACAAUGACAAAAUUACUCAUACAAUUAGUUAUUUUAAAAAUGUGCAGGUGAUACAGAGAAGAUUCAAUGGUCAUGUCGAUUUUUAUCGUACGUGGGAUGAGUAUAAGAGUGGAUUUGGUGCAAUCAGUGGAGAAUGUUGGUUU
RNAcentral lists this long non-coding RNA (1132 nucleotides) under Mytilus galloprovincialis (Mediterranean mussel). The record is from RNAcentral. Lineage: Eukaryota; Metazoa; Mollusca; Bivalvia; Mytilida; Mytilidae.